RNAcentral lists this non-coding RNA (46 nucleotides) under unclassified sequences. Its description in RNAcentral is "SAM-SAH-Weickhmann-2018 RNA". It matches the Rfam family "SAM/SAH riboswitch aptamer". The record is from RNAcentral.
AGAUCUCAACGGCUACCUGACGUGAUCUUUUUUUAAUAUUGGAGCA